Molecule: ribosomal RNA, 489 nt
Filed under: Triticum aestivum (bread wheat)
Lineage: Eukaryota; Viridiplantae; Streptophyta; Magnoliopsida; Poales; Poaceae
Description: partial small subunit ribosomal RNA
Source: RNAcentral
AUGGAGAAUCUAACAUCUCAAAUAUGCAAUUUGUUUGUUCCAGAAGCCACGAAAUUGAGGCGGAUGUGUCUCAGACCUAAGUUGUUGCAGCUGGACCGUGGUUCCAUGCAUCCUCGCUUGGAGGCAGUGGUGCUGGGAGAUAUGCAUGUGCAAGGCGAAGAAGUGGACGAAGGCCUGAAGAAGCAAUCUAUGCCUCCCUAUCGCUGGGCUGAUCGAGCGAUGCGCUUCAGCGGCUGCCUCACCGACGACGGUGAAGGAAGGAUCAGAAGUGCCGGCUAUAGCGCUAGGAAAUUGGAAACCCUAGCAGUUGAUCUUCUCUAUAAAACAUGUGUGGCAAGGGGGGUGGAACCUGCUUCAGGGAAGGAGAUAGAUGACGUGAGAGAAGAGACCAGCUUGCAUCCUUUAUCUGACAGCCAAUUGUUUUUUUUUUGCCAAUUGCCUACUCCAUAUUGUCCAUGUGUUCGAUGCAUGCAAACGUGUGGCUCUUGA